This 492-nucleotide ribosomal RNA is filed under the name uncultured bacterium. Its description in RNAcentral is "partial 16S ribosomal RNA". It matches the Rfam family "Bacterial small subunit ribosomal RNA", at positions 29 to 507 of the family's 1533-position model. The record is from RNAcentral.
AGUGAACGCUGGCGGUAGGCCUAACGCAUGCAAGUCGAACGGCAGCACAGUAAGUGCUUGCUCUUACGGGUGGCGAGCGUCGGACGGGUGCGGUAUACAUCGGAAUCUACUUUUUCGUGUGUGAUAACGUAGGGAAACUUACGCUAAUACCGCAUACGACCUACUUGUGAAAGCAGGGGAUCUUCUGACCUUUUGCGAUUGAAUUAGCCGAUGUCGGAUUAGCUAGUUGGCGGGUUAAAGGCACACCAAGGCCACGAUCCGCAGCUGGUCUGAGAGAAUGAUUCGCUAGACUGGAGCUGAGAAAGGGUCCAGACUCCUACGCGAGGAAGCAGUCGGGAAUAUUGGACAAUGGGGGAAAGCGGGAUCCAGCAAUACGGCGUGGGUCCUGAAGGACCUCGGGUUGUUAAGCCAUUAUGGUGUGAGGAAAGAGAAGCAGGUUAAUCCCCGACUGUUCUGACGGUACCCAAAGAAGAAGCACCGGCUAACUUCGUG